GGUAAUGCCGGAUGCUCCAGUUGAUCGCAUGGUCUUCUGGGAAAGCCUUUGCGGCAUGGGAUGGGGUCGCGUCCUAUCAGCUUGAUGGCGGGGUAACGGCCCACCAUGGCUUCGACGGGUAGCCGGCCUGAGAGGGCGACCGGCCACAUUGGGACUGAGAUACGGCCCAGACUCCUACGGGAGGCAGCAGUGGGGAAUAUUGCACAAUGGGCGCAAGCCUGAUGCAGCGACGCCGCGUGAGGGAUGGAGGCCUUCGGGUUGUAAACCUCUUUUGUUAGGGAGCAAGGCAUUUUGUGUUGAGUGUACCUUUCGAAUAAGCACCGGCUAACUACGUGCCAGCAGCCGCGGUAAUACGUAGGGUGCAAGCGUUAUCCGGAAUUAUUGGGCGUAAAGGGCUCGUAGGCGGUUCGUCGCGUCCGGUGUGAAAGUCCAUCGCUUAACGGUGGAUCCGCGCCGGGUACGGGCGGGCUUGAGUGCGGUAGGGGAGACUGGAAUUCCCGGUGUAACGGUGGAAUGUGUAGAUAUCG
Molecule: ribosomal RNA, 527 nt
Filed under: Bifidobacterium breve
Lineage: Bacteria; Bacillati; Actinomycetota; Actinomycetes; Bifidobacteriales; Bifidobacteriaceae
Description: bacterial SSU rRNA
Rfam family: Bacterial small subunit ribosomal RNA
Source: RNAcentral